This 208-nucleotide ribosomal RNA is filed under the name uncultured Comamonadaceae bacterium. RNAcentral describes it as "partial 16S ribosomal RNA". It matches the Rfam family "Bacterial small subunit ribosomal RNA", at positions 568 to 775 of the family's 1533-position model. The record is from RNAcentral. Lineage: Bacteria; Pseudomonadati; Pseudomonadota; Betaproteobacteria; Burkholderiales; Comamonadaceae.
UGCGCAGGCGGUGAUGUAAGACAGAUGUGAAAUCCCCGGGCUCAACCUGGGAACUGCAUUAGUGACUGCAUCGCUGGAGUGCGGCAGAGGGGGAUGGAAUUCCGCGUGUAGCAGUGAAAUGCGUAGAUAUGCGGAGGAACACCGAUGGCGAAGGCAAUCCCCUGGGCCUGCACUGACGCUCAUGCACGAAAGCGUGGGGAGCAAACAG